CCUACGGGGGGCUGCAGUGGGGAAUAUUGGACAAUGGGGGCAACCCUGAUCCAGCCAUGCCGCGUGUGUGAAGAAGGCCCUCGGGUUGUAAAGCACUUUCAGUGAGGAAGAACGCCUGGUGGUUAAUACCCAUCAGCAAAGACAUCACUCACAGAAGAAGCACCGGCUAACUCCGUGCCAGCAGCCGCGGUAAUACGGAGGGUGCGAGCGUUAAUCGGAAUUACUGGGCGUAAAGCGCGCGUAGGUGGCUUGAUAAGCCGGUUGUGAAAGCCCCGGGCUCAACCUGGGAACGGCAUCCGGAACUGUCAAGCUAGAGUGCAGGAGAGGAAGGUAGAAUUCCCGGUGUAGCGGUGAAAUGCGUAGAGAUCAGGAGGAAUACCAGUGGCGAAGGCGGCCUUCUGGACUGACACUGACACUGAGGUGCGAAAGCGUGGGUAGCAAACAGGAUUAGAUACCCCAGUAGUC
This 465-nucleotide ribosomal RNA is filed under the name Vreelandella stevensii. Its description in RNAcentral is "partial 16S ribosomal RNA". It matches the Rfam family "Bacterial small subunit ribosomal RNA", at positions 338 to 795 of the family's 1533-position model. Lineage: Bacteria; Pseudomonadati; Pseudomonadota; Gammaproteobacteria; Oceanospirillales; Halomonadaceae. The record is from RNAcentral.